GAUGAAGAACGCAGUGAAAUGCGAUAAGUAAUGCGAAUUGCAGAAUUCAGUGAAUCAUCGAAUCUUUGAACGCACAUUGCGCCCGCCAGUAUUCAGGCGGGCAUGCCUGUCUGAGCGUCGUUUCGACCCUCGCGCCCGGCUUCUGUCGGGGGCGGUGUUGGGGAUCGGCCACACCCUUCAGUGGGAGGCCGGCCCCUAAAUUCAGUGGCGACCACGCUGUAGCCUCCCCUGCGUAGUACUAAAACCACCUCGCAGGCGGAGAGCGGUGCGGCCCGCCGUAAAACCCCCCAACUUUUACAAGGUCGACCUCAGAUCAGGUAGGAAUACCCGCUGAACUUAAGCAUAUCAAUAAGCGGAGGA
RNAcentral lists this unclassified non-coding RNA (360 nucleotides) under soil metagenome. Its description in RNAcentral is "partial contains 5.8S ribosomal RNA, internal transcribed spacer 2, and large subunit ribosomal RNA". The stretch from base 1 to 120 matches the Rfam family "5.8S ribosomal RNA", at positions 35 to 154 of the family's 154-position model. The record is from RNAcentral.